UGGGGAAUAUUGCGCAAUGGGGGAAACCCUGACGCAGCAACGCCGCGUGAGUGAAGAAGGUUUUCGGAUCGUAAAGCUCUGUCUUUGGGGACGAACGAAAUGACGGUACCCAAGGAGGAAGCCCCGGCUAACUACGUGCCAGCAGCCGCGGUAAUACGUAGGGGGCAAGCGUUGUCCGGAAUUACUGGGCGUAAAGGGCACGCAGGCGGUAUAUUAAGUUAGAUGUGAAAGUUUGCAGCUUAACUGUAAAAGUGCAUUUAAAACUGGUAUACUUGAGUCUCGGAGAGGUAAGCGGAAUUCCUAGUGUAGCGGUGAAAUGCGUAGAGAUUAGGAAGAACACCGGUGGCGAAGGCGGCUUACUGGACGAGUACUGACGCUCAGGUGCGAAAGCGUGGGGAGCGAACAGG
RNAcentral lists this ribosomal RNA (407 nucleotides) under uncultured prokaryote. RNAcentral describes it as "bacterial SSU rRNA". It matches the Rfam family "Bacterial small subunit ribosomal RNA", at positions 355 to 776 of the family's 1533-position model. The record is from RNAcentral. RNAcentral also lists the same sequence under 1 other name.